This 263-nucleotide ribosomal RNA is filed under the name uncultured bacterium. RNAcentral describes it as "partial 16S ribosomal RNA". It matches the Rfam family "Bacterial small subunit ribosomal RNA", at positions 333 to 613 of the family's 1533-position model. The record is from RNAcentral.
UUUUCCCUACGGGGCGCAGCAGUGGGGAAUAUUGCACAAUGGGGGAAACCCUGAUGCAGCGACGCCGCGUGAGCGAUGAAGUAUUUCGGUAUGUAAAGCUCUAUCAGUAGGGAAGAAAAUGACGGUACCUGACUAAGAAGCCCCGGCUAACUACGUGCCAGCAGCCGCGGUAAUACGUAGGGGGCAAGCGUUAUCCGGAUUUACUGGGUGUAAAGGGAGCGUAGACGGCGAUGCAAGUCUGAAGUGAAAGGCGGGGGCCCAAC